Molecule: ribosomal RNA, 440 nt
Filed under: uncultured bacterium
Lineage: Bacteria
Description: partial 16S ribosomal RNA
Rfam family: Bacterial small subunit ribosomal RNA
Source: RNAcentral
CCUACGGGUGGCAGCAGUGGGGAAUAUUGGUCAAUGGGGGAAACUCUGAUGCAGCGACGUCGCGUGAGUGAAGACGUAUCUCGGUAUGUAAAGCUCUAUCAGCAGGGAAGAAAAUGACGGUACCUGAUUAAGAAGCUCCGGCUAACUACGUGCCAGCAGGCGCGGUAAUACGUAGGGGGCAAGCGUUAUCCGGAUUUACUGGGUGUAAAGGGAGCGUAGACGGCAGGACAAGUCUGGAGUGAAAUGCCGGGGCUUAACCCCGGAACUGCUGUGGAAACUGUGCAGCUAGAGCGCAGGAGAGGUGAGUGGAAUUCCUGGUGUAGCGGUGAAAUGCGUAGAUAUUAGGAGGAACACCAGUGGCGAAGGCAGCUUACUGGACUGUAACUGACGUUGAGGCUCGAAAGCGUGGGUAGCAAACAGGAUUAGAUACCCCAGUAGUC